UUGUCAAAAUGUUAACUGAGGAAAGUCCGGGCUCUGGUUUCAAUAUGAAACUAUGUUAUAGAGUAAUUCUCUAUGUGUAACCAUUUAGCACGAGGCUAGUGCCACAGAAAACGAACCGCAAGUUUUAUCUUGUAAGGGUGCAAUGGUGUGGUAAGAGCACACCAGUUUAUUUGUAAGAAUAAAGCUUGGUAUACCCUAACACAGAGCAAACAAAAUUAAGCGAUUUUUUUGGUCGCU
This 237-nucleotide ribozyme is filed under the name Pycnococcus provasolii. RNAcentral's name for it is "partial Bacterial RNase P class A". It matches the Rfam family "Bacterial RNase P class A", at positions 23 to 255 of the family's 367-position model. From Rfam's summary of the family: Ribonuclease P (RNase P) is a ubiquitous endoribonuclease, found in archaea, bacteria and eukarya as well as chloroplasts and mitochondria. Its best characterised activity is the generation of mature 5'-ends of tRNAs by cleaving the 5'-leader elements of precursor-tRNAs. The record is from RNAcentral. Lineage: Eukaryota; Viridiplantae; Chlorophyta; Pseudoscourfieldiophyceae; Pseudoscourfieldiales; Pycnococcaceae.